GGGGGUGUAGCUCAGCAGUAGAGUACUUGCCUAGCAUGCAUGAGGCCCUGGGUUCAAUCCCCAGCACCACAA
This 72-nucleotide transfer RNA is filed under the name Heterocephalus glaber (naked mole-rat). It matches the Rfam family "tRNA". Rfam says of the family: Transfer RNA (tRNA) molecules are approximately 80 nucleotides in length. Their secondary structure includes four short double-helical elements and three loops (D, anti-codon, and T loops). Lineage: Eukaryota; Metazoa; Chordata; Mammalia; Rodentia; Bathyergidae. The record is from Rfam by way of RNAcentral.